AGGGGUAUAGCUCAGCGGUAGAGCGGCGGUCUCCAAAACCGUAGGUCGUGGGUUCAAUCCCCUCUGCCCCUGCCA
Molecule: transfer RNA, 75 nt
Filed under: Alphaproteobacteria bacterium
Lineage: Bacteria; Pseudomonadati; Pseudomonadota; Alphaproteobacteria
Description: tRNA-Trp
Rfam family: tRNA
About the family: Transfer RNA (tRNA) molecules are approximately 80 nucleotides in length.
Source: RNAcentral